RNAcentral lists this ribosomal RNA (179 nucleotides) under Bacillus sp. (in: firmicutes). RNAcentral describes it as "Bacillus sp. (in: Bacteria) partial 16S ribosomal RNA". It matches the Rfam family "Bacterial small subunit ribosomal RNA", at positions 72 to 244 of the family's 1533-position model. Lineage: Bacteria; Bacillati; Bacillota; Bacilli; Caryophanales; Bacillaceae. The record is from RNAcentral.
AGAGGGACUGCUCCCUGAUGUCAGCGGCGGACGGGUGAUUAACACGUGGGUAACCUGCCUGUAAGACUGGGAUAACUCCGGGAACCGGGGCUAAUACCGGAUGCUUGAUUGAACCGCAUGGUUCAAUUAUAAAAGGUGGCUUUUACCUACCACUUACAGAUGAACCCGCGGCGCAUUAC